Molecule: long non-coding RNA, 549 nt
Organism: Dioscorea cayenensis subsp. rotundata (Guinea yam)
Lineage: Eukaryota; Viridiplantae; Streptophyta; Magnoliopsida; Dioscoreales; Dioscoreaceae
Exons: 3
Source: RefSeq, a predicted model, not a curated record
AUCAAAUGCCGGACAUUCAAUGGUAACCAACAUUUCUGAUUGGCAGUGUCUUGGAUUACAACAACACAGAUGGAAAUAUCAACAUCCUUCCAUUGCUCAAAACCAUAAUCAGCCACAAAAUACCAGUAUGCAUCUUCAGUGGUGAUCAAGACUCAGUUGUUCCAUUGUUAGGAUCUCGAACACCUUGUACGAGAACUAGCACAUGAGAUGAAACACAGCAUUACAGUUCCAUAUCGCACAUGGUUCUAUAAAGACCAGUGGGAGGAUGGAUGACAGAGUAUGGGAAACUGCUGACAUUUGCUACAGUGAGAGGUGCUGCUCAUAUGGUUCCUUAUGCACAACCAGGAAGAGCUCUGCAACUCUUCAAGUCAUUUGUGAAAGGACAGAGACUUCCAAACAUAACACAAACUUCCUUUUGAUCUUUUGUUCUUGUACUGUUUCAAAUCACAUUUUUGUGAACUUUUGAAGAAGCACAAAUAAUAACAGAAGAAUAGUUUGUGUUAUAUAAUAUAUAUAAGAGUUUGUGUCUGUAUAUGGGAUUUUAGUCCC